AGAGUUUGAUCCUGGCUCAGGACGAACGCUGGCGGCGUGCCUAACACAUGCAAGUCGAGCGGAGAUUUCUUUGGCACUGAGUACUCUAGUGAUGACGCAAAUCGCGGCGGACGGGUGAGUAACACGUGGGCAACCUGCCUCGAAGUGGGGGAUAACACCGAGAAAUCGGUGCUAAUACCGCAUAACAUACAGACAUCACCUGAUGACUGUAUCAAAGGAGCAAUCCGCUUUGAGAUGGGCCCGCGGCUGAUUAGCUAGUUGGUGAGGUAACGGCUCACCAAGGCGACGAUGGGUAGCCGACCUGAGAGGUUGAUCGGCCACAUUGGGACUGAGACACGGUCCAGACUCCUACGGGAGGCAGCAGUGGGGAAUAUUGCACAAUGGGCGAAAGCCUGACCCAGCGAUGCCGCGUGAAGGAAGAAGGUUUUCGGAUUGUAAAACUCUGUCCUAAGGGAAGAAGAAGUGACGGUACCUUAGGAGGAAGCCCCGGCUAACUACGUGCCAGCAGCCGCGGUAAUACGUAGGGGGCAAGCGUUAUCCGGAAUCACUGGGCGUAAAGGGUGCGUAGGCGGCUGAUCAAGCCAGGGGUGAAAGGCAAUAGCUUAACUAUUGUGAGCCUUUGGAACUGGUCAGCUUGAGUGCAGGAGAGGAAAGCGGAAUUCCUAGUGUAGCGGUGAAAUGCGUAGAUAUUAGGAGGAACACCAGUGGCGAAGGCGACUUUCUGGACUGUAACUGACGCUGAGGCACGAAAGCGUGGGGAGCAAACAGGAUUAGAUACCCUGGUAGUCCACGCUGUAAACGAUGAAUACUAGGUGUCGGGGGUCAAAGCCCGGUGCCGGAGUUAACACAAUAAGUGCACCGCCUGGGGAGUACGGCCGCAAGGCUAAAACUCAAAGGAAUUGACGGGGACCCGCACAAGCGGUGGAGUAUGUGGUUUAAUUCGAAGCAACGCGAAGAACCUUACCAGAACUUGACAUCCCUCUGACCGGUCCGUAACGGGAUCCCUCCUUCGGGGCAGAGGUGACAGGUGCUGCAUGGCUGUCGUCAGCUCGUGUCGUGAGAUGUUGGGUUAAGUCCCGCAACGAGCGCAACCCUUAUCCUUAGUUGCCAGCACAUAAUGGUGGGCACUCUAGAGGGACUGCCGGUGACAAACCGGAGGAAGGUGGGGAUGACGUCAAGUCCUCAUGGCCUUUAUGACCAGGGCUACACACGUACUACAAUGGCAUAAACAAAGGGCAGCGACAUCGCGAGGUGAAGCGAAUCCCAUAAAGCCGGUCUCAGUUCGGAUUGCAGGCUGAAACUCGCCUGCAUGAAGUUGGAGUUGCUAGUAAUCGUGGAUCAGCAUGCCGUGGUGAAUGCGUUCCCGGGUCUUGUACACACCGCCCGUCAAACCACGGGAGUUGGUUGUACCAGAAGCCAGUGAUCCAACCGUAAGGAGGAAGCUGUCGAAGGUAAAACCAAUGACUGGGGUGAAGUCGUAACAAGGUAACC
This 1491-nucleotide ribosomal RNA is filed under the name uncultured bacterium. Its description in RNAcentral is "16S ribosomal RNA". It matches the Rfam family "Bacterial small subunit ribosomal RNA". The record is from RNAcentral.